Molecule: long non-coding RNA, 707 nt
Organism: Dermacentor silvarum
Lineage: Eukaryota; Metazoa; Arthropoda; Arachnida; Ixodida; Ixodidae
Exons: 2
Source: RefSeq, a predicted model, not a curated record
GCCAGCAUCAUAACUUUCUUUGCACAUUCGUUGCUCUUCUCUCUUGUAACAUUAUAACUGUGGUCGCCGUCCAUUGACUUCAAAUAGCAGCGAUACGUCAGACAAUUACGCAUAUGAUUUAUAACUGGGUGGCAGUGUGGACCAAAUUUACAUGAAUUGAUAUCAUCUGCAGUAGCGAUGUUUUAACUAAGUCUCACAAGGAAGCUAGAACUUUACGAUGCAGUAGAAUAUUGGUAAACAAAAUUGCCGCUCCAACGAAACAGCCUUGUGAUUUUUCUUGCUGUGUGCGAAAUUUACACGGACUGAUGAAUUUACACUGAAUAUUGUUCUUUUUGCAUUGGAAAUUAUGUGUUGACAUGACUAUGCUAACUCGACCGUUGUGUAUUUCUUUCAGGUGCACCAGCGAAAUGCUUUUUCGCAAAUUCCACGGUUGGUCUGUAUGCCGAAACUAUGUUAGCAGCAAGUCUUGGAGAAGUCCAAACGGCCAUGUGCAACUGCAGUUUGGGGAAAUGCAACAACGGCACUUGCAAGCCAGACGGUACAUACGCUAGCUGCUGGUAAUGGAAGCAAGAAGAAGCAUGAGAUUAUUCGCCGCAGGGGCUGAAAACACCGCGUUUUAAAUAAACCCGCUAAUAAAAUUAUGCAGAUGCACUUCACUGGCAGCUGUGGUUUGGUAAAGGGAAAUAAAUUUUACAUUCUUUGACAAA